GGAUGAAGGAAGUGGGGUAGCAAAAUUUUGAGCCUACGAACAGAAACUUGAUAAUAAAGGCUAUGAGGAGGAUAAGAUUGCAUAUCAAAUCAAAAUCCAAAAGGUAAACGUAUAACCAAAAUAGUAAAUCAAGAGGUUGUGGAAUGAAAGAUUA
This 154-nucleotide non-coding RNA is filed under the name human gut metagenome. The record is from RNAcentral.